Molecule: non-coding RNA, 340 nt
Organism: Pelobates cultripes (western spadefoot toad)
Lineage: Eukaryota; Metazoa; Chordata; Amphibia; Anura; Pelobatidae
Source: the annotation of a GenBank genome assembly
ACACACACACACACACAGUCAGACACAUACACAGACACAGUCAGACACAAACACACACACACACACACACACACACAUACACAGUCAGACACAAACACACACACACAGUCAGACACACACAGUCAGACACAAACACACACACAAACACACACACAAACACACACAGACACACACAGUCACAUACACACACACAGUCAGACACAAACACACACACACAGUCAGACACAUACACAGACACAAACACAGUCAGACACAAACACACACACAGUCAGACACAUACACAGACACAAACACACACACACACUCACAAACACACACAGUCAGACACAAACACACACAU